GACGUAGGGCGCGAGCGUUGUCCGGAUUUAUUGGGCGUAAAGAGCGUGUAGGCGGCUUGUUAAGUCUUGCGUGAAAUCUCGGGGCUCAACCCCGAGCGGUCGUGAGAAACUGGCAGGCUAGAGUGCGGGAGAGGAGAGUGGAAUUCCUGGUGUAGCGGUGAAAUGCGCAGAUAUCAGGAAGAACACCCGUGGCGAAGGCGGCUCUCUGGAACGCAACUGACGCUGAGACGCGAAAGCGUGGGGAGCAAACAGG
This 253-nucleotide ribosomal RNA is filed under the name uncultured bacterium. Its description in RNAcentral is "partial 16S ribosomal RNA". It matches the Rfam family "Bacterial small subunit ribosomal RNA", at positions 524 to 776 of the family's 1533-position model. The record is from RNAcentral.